AAAUUGAAGAGUUUGAUCAUGGCUCAGAUUGAACGCUGGCGGCAGGCCUAACACAUGCAAGUCGAACGGUAACAGAAAGCAGCUUGCUGCUUUGCUGACGAGUGGCGGACGGGUGAGUAAUGUCUGGGAAACUGCCUGAUGGAGGGGGAUAACUACUGGAAACGGUAGCUAAUACCGCAUAAUGUCGCAAGACCAAAGAGGGGGACCUUCGGGCCUCUUGCCAUCGGAUGUGCCCAGAUGGGAUUAGCUUGUUGGUGGGGUAACGGCUCACCAAGGCGACGAUCCCUAGCUGGUCUGAGAGGAUGACCAGCCACACUGGAACUGAGACACGGUCCAGACUCCUACGGGAGGCAGCAGUGGGGAAUAUUGCACAAUGGGCGCAAGCCUGAUGCAGCCAUGCCGCGUGUAUGAAGAAGGCCUUCGGGUUGUAAAGUACUUUCAGCGGGGAGGAAGGGAGUAAAGUUAAUACCUUUACUCAUUGACGUUACCCGCAGAAGAAGCACCGGCUAACUCCGUGCCAGCAGCCGCGGUAAUACGGAGGGUGCAAGCGUUAAUCGGAAUUACUGGGCGUAAAGCGCACGCAGGCGGUUUGUUAAGUCAGAUGUGAAAUCCCCGGGCUCAACCUGGGAACUGCAUCUGAUACUGGCAAGCUUGAGUCUCGUAGAGGGGGGUAGAAUUCCAGGUGUAGCGGUGAAAUGCGUAGAGAUCUGGAGGAAUACCGGUGGCGAAGGCGGCCCCCUGGACGAAGACUGACGCUCAGGUGCGAAAGCGUGGGGAGCAAACAGGAUUAGAUACCCUGGUAGUCCACGCCGUAAACGAUGUCGACUUGGAGGUUGUGCCCUUGAGGCGUGGCUUCCGGAGCUAACGCGUUAAGUCGACCGCCUGGGGAGUACGGCCGCAAGGUUAAAACUCAAAUGAAUUGACGGGGGCCCGCACAAGCGGUGGAGCAUGUGGUUUAAUUCGAUGCAACGCGAAGAACCUUACCUGGUCUUGACAUCCACGGAAGUUUUCAGAGAUGAGAAUGUGCCUUCGGGAACCGUGAGACAGGUGCUGCAUGGCUGUCGUCAGCUCGUGUUGUGAAAUGUUGGGUUAAGUCCCGCAACGAGCGCAACCCUUAUCCUUUGUUGCCAGCGGUCCGGCCGGGAACUCAAAGGAGACUGCCAGUGAUAAACUGGAGGAAGGUGGGGAUGACGUCAAGUCAUCAUGGCCCUUACGACCAGGGCUACACACGUGCUACAAUGGCGCAUACAAAGAGAAGCGACCUCGCGAGAGCAAGCGGACCUCAUAAAGUGCGUCGUAGUCCGGAUUGGAGUCUGCAACUCGACUCCAUGAAGUCGGAAUCGCUAGUAAUCGUGGAUCAGAAUGCCACGGUGAAUACGUUCCCGGGCCUUGUACACACCGCCCGUCACACCAUGGGAGUGGGUUGCAAAAGAAGUAGGUAGCUUAACCUUCGGGAGGGCGCUUACCACUUUGUGAUUCAUGACUGGGGUGAAGUCGUAACAAGGUAACCGUAGGGGAACCUGCGGUUGGAUCACCUCCUUACCUUAAAGAAGC
RNAcentral lists this ribosomal RNA (1554 nucleotides) under Escherichia coli. Its description in RNAcentral is "bacterial SSU rRNA". It matches the Rfam family "Bacterial small subunit ribosomal RNA". Lineage: Bacteria; Pseudomonadati; Pseudomonadota; Gammaproteobacteria; Enterobacterales; Enterobacteriaceae. The record is from RNAcentral.